AGGCUAAAUAGAAGAUGAAGGGAAGAAAAAUGCCAUUGUGAGGAGCAAAGCUAAGCUUGACCUGGAGGUUCAGAAUUACUCUAUAGAAGACAAACGAUAUGAUGAUUUGGAUGAGAAGUACAGCAGGAAGAGGGACAGAUACAGUGGAGGGGGAGGGCUGAUUCAGGACUUCAAGGAGAAAGAGGGAUAUAAACCGGACGUCAAACUGGAAUACGUGGAUGAUGGAGGUCACCUGCUGAAUCAGAAAGAGGCCUUCAGGCAGCUGUCUCACAGAUUCCACGGGAAAGGCUCUGGUAAAAAGAAAACGGAAAAACGAACGAAAAACUGCAGGAGGAACAGUUGAUGAAGCAGAUGAGUUCCACAGACACGCCUCUUGGUACACUGAACAUGCUUAAAGAUAAGCAGAGAACAGAGAAGUCACCUUACAUUGUCCUGUCUGGCUCCAAAGGUUUCUCAUCAAAUUCCAUCAUUAAACCUAGCCAAACAUUAUUCUAUUGGAAUAUUAAGCAAUUUUUCUAGACUUUGAAUGCAGACAACAUACACGAAGGAGACAUGACCCCAAAAGUUUAACUACAGACAGUA
Saccostrea cuccullata (small rock oyster) is the source of this 582-nucleotide long non-coding RNA. RefSeq lists it as uncharacterized. The transcript has 4 exons. The record is from RefSeq and is a predicted model, not a curated record. NCBI's taxonomy places the organism in Eukaryota, Metazoa, Mollusca, Bivalvia, Ostreida, Ostreidae.